Astatotilapia calliptera (eastern happy) is the source of this 2041-nucleotide long non-coding RNA. The record is from Ensembl. Lineage: Eukaryota; Metazoa; Chordata; Actinopteri; Cichliformes; Cichlidae.
UGUAACAGUGUUUAUGUGGUAUUAUUCCACUUGCCACAAAUGUCAGUGUAAUGGGGAAACAGCGCCCCCCCCUCUCGGUGUGGCUGGUUAGGUGAGGCUGGCUGCAGUAAUCGCUGCCAGUCUGCCGUAGCCAUACGAGAGGUGACUGAGCAAUGGAGAAGCUGGAUGAUGUAACAGUAUCUGUCCUUAAAGCUGCAAGCAUUGACGAGCGCAUGCUUUUAACAUUGACCCGUGAUGAUCUGAGGGACCUUUUUUCUGGGCCUGAGCACUUUCUCAGAAGAAAACAUGUGUGGUCAAUAAUUCAUCCUGAGGAAGACCAUCCGCUACCACAGAAACCUGAAACAACUUCUUCACCCAGGGUAGUUGCAACAGGCCCUCCAACUGCUGAUGCUAAUGUAAGCCAGCUGAAAACCUUGCAGCUCCCCAGUCCUCCGGAAUAUGUUCUGUACACCGACAGUGAGUUGGAGCAAUGCCGAAAGAGUUACCUGGAGUUGGCCUGCUCCGGCAGGGAACAGGCAUGCGUCAUGUCAAAAGAACUGAGAUGCAGAUUGGUGAGAAAUACAAUCACAAGUAUGGUGUCCCUUUUGAGAGCAAGCCAAGGCCAAAUGGAGCGAUACCCCUCUAAGACCGAAAUCACUGCAAUGGCUAAAAAAGUUGUGGAAUAUUAUCCUAUGCUGCAGGAUAAUGAUGCAAGCGUAAAACACGAGAGCAUUAAUGCCAAGUUACAAAAAAGGCUGCAAAAUAUGAAAACCCCAGUAAAAAGGCAAGGACCAACACCGGAGAGGGGACGGCCCAAGAGAAGGCUCACUGACCUCUACCCAAGGGAUGAAGAAGCUGAUGAUGAAGAUGCUGAUCGCAGUUCUUCCAGUGGUGCAUCUACUCUGUUAUCACCUGUCAGAAAUUCUGACAAUGCCUCCACUUCAUCUGACAAGGAUAGUCGGCAAAUACAAGCAAGACAUUACAAAACAUUACAAGAAAUGUGUAAGAAGGCAAAACCAAACCAAGAAGAUGUGUCCCAGCUAUUAGACCUCGAGUUUGAAGCCAGAAGAUCCUUCAUUGACUCAGACACCAUGAAAGAGGAGAACAGAGCUUGCCUCAUCUUGGAUGCAUAUCCAUGCUUUAAAGAAUUGCAUCAUGCGUUGGGUGAGCUUCGCAGAAUUUUGGAUCCCCACAACAACAAGUUCAUCAGUCAAGUAAAACUGAGAUGGGAAGAAUUCUGCUCCAGGGUAGAGUUCUACGGUGUGUCAAAGAAGGCAAUGAAUCCACCAAUGACCAUGGACAAAACUGAAGCCCACCUUGCACUGAUGAAGGCUCUUCCAACCCUCUUUCCCACACCUGCCCAUCCACCAAAGAAGAUGGGGAAUGCUUCUGAAGCAUUUCUACAUGUCCUGAAGCCUACAGAAGAUCCAGAUGCUGUCCUCCAGAAACGAAGCUUGUCAUGUCCAGUAGUGAUGUUCGAUGGCUGCAAGUGUGUCAUUGCUGUUGGUAAUUUACCAGUUACAACAUUUGACAAAGAAAAAAUUGGUGAGGCUAUGAUAUAUGUGAUGGCAUACUUUUAUGCACUCCAUCUGACUUACCACAAAUGCGUGGCAACCCUGCUGUCUGUCAUUCAGACAGAAGUUCUCCAGGAUGCCAUUCAUGAGCAUGACACUACAUCAUCUUACAGAAAAGCCCUGGCAGAAUGGCAUGCAUUUAUUGGAAAGUAGUGUGUAAAUUUCAGAUAAGAUUAGGAGAGGGCACUUCUGUUUUGUUUUUGUUUGUUUUUUCAAUCUGGGUCUUAUUUCUAAAAUGGAAAAUGUUCAUUUACUCACCCAGACAAGUUUUGUGGUAUUUGGUGUCAUUCGGAAGAAAUUUGAAUCUUUGUGGUCUUCCUAUGUCACUCGUCAAUUUUAAUGGGGCAAUGGCGAAACCUCUAAGGCUGUUGAAAUGUUGAAACCACUUAAACAAACUCAUAAUGUUGGACCUGUACUGUUCAAUUGUAUCUUUAUUAUCUGCAGGUUAUUGUUAAAGUGGACAAAUAAAGAUGGACACUUUUACUCUG